Peromyscus californicus insignis is the source of this 2982-nucleotide long non-coding RNA. RefSeq lists it as uncharacterized. Lineage: Eukaryota; Metazoa; Chordata; Mammalia; Rodentia; Cricetidae. The record is from RefSeq and is a predicted model, not a curated record. The transcript is spliced from 3 exons.
CAAUUCAAGAAGAGGAUCUUAUCGGAGGCUCGUAUGAUGCAACCAGUGCGAUUUACACCGGAGGAGGUGUGGGCGGGGACAAGGGUGAUUGGCAUAGCUUGUUCCAAUCGCUGAGGCUUUUAUUCCUUGGGGUGAUGAGGAUGUUGCGGGUGGCUGGAGUCCCAGAGGACAGACUCCUUGCCCUUCUGGCGCCUGGAGACCUGGGGCAGGGGCCCGCCGGUGGGAGUUGCAGAGGACAGGUGUUCCUGUACCUGCUGAGCAGGUGGUUGUACCCGCCGGGCCCCCGCAGUGCUCACGUUCCUGAGCUGGCCAGGCAGGGCUGACAGCCAAGCCCCCGGCAUUUGUGCGCAGAACUCGAGUGGUCCGCCUGGACACGCUGUACCCGAGCGUGGGUGACCUUGACCAUCUCCACUCAGUGUUUCCCCAGAAAGAAACCUGGGAGUGCUUUCUGCCUUGAGCGCUGGCCGGGGAGACCCUGCAGAAAGUAAGGGAUGAACGCAUGCUAGUUUGAGAAUUUUACUCCCCGGCUACUUACAGAAAGGGGGGGCCUAGUCCUCAAGGACCUUGAAGGAUCUGGCGAGGCCUCCCUCUGAAGCGUUCCUCCCACGUGUUCUGUCAUCGAUUGGCUGAUACCCAAGCUACUGCUUCUUGUUGUCAGGCGGCUCCUUCCCCGAGACUAUUUCUGCCCAGAUCCUUUCUCCACCUGUUGACCUUGAAGAUUCCUGUCUGUCAGCCCUCCCUAAAACCUUUCCUCAACCCUCAGGCAGAGUUGACUCAACACUGCCUCCUGGCGGAAGAAAUAAUUCAAGCAAGAGGCAGAUGAAGAGCAGAACCAGGCAAUCAGAGGAAUUGGGAAGCUACGUGACCACAGCUGUAUCCGGAAUGAAUUCCUUUAGAAUAUGUUCUUUUAGAAAUCGGAAGCCUCCAGGGCCAGCAAUAUUGUCCCAGAACACAAGACCCAGAGCAUCGGUGGCAACUGACCAGACCUCUAAGCUAAUCCACACUUGCUUGUUUUACUCAGUCUUAACCCGGAGCAGCACCCAGGAUGUUUAAACUUAGCAGCAACAACUCAGGGGAGAGAAGUUUAUCACCCAUGGCACUCAAGCACAAAAUGCUUGGGGGUGGUUAUAUUUGGGUGUAUGGAUGCUGUCAUGAUGGGGAGGAUGUCAUUUACAAGUUGAGUUUUCUGCUGAACACAUAUUUCUUUAAAAACCGAAGUUGUUAGGAAGAUACAUUCAAGAGUCACUGUGUGGCCAAAUGGUGGAUUCAAUAAGCACGAACCCGCUAAGGGGUGUGUCCUGGGAUGGUAACCGGGCUCUCUUGCUAAAGAGAGCAGUUUUAAGCUUCUCCCGGAUUAACUAGCUGGUGUGCCUGGGUGAGCCUUGGUGAAAGCUUAACUCUGUGCUUAUCUCCAGAUUGUCUUUCUUCUUCAUGUACAACUCCUCCGCCAGCAUAGCCCAACCCCUCUCCCAACCCCUACUACUUCAUGGUUCGUACCAAACCAGGAUGUGCCUCGCUGUGUCUUAUCUCACAGAAGGACAUGCCCAGUGAGGCCUGGAGCAGGCGGGAUCUAUACUUAGUUCCUGAACUGGAUACUCACGUGUGCAGGUUUUAUUUAAGGCUCCAAAGACCUUUGUGUUCCAAAGAUACCAACGGGCCUGUGCUGUGAGCGCUAUCAUUUACUGUUGACUGUAAUUAACUCCCAGAGCGCCAUUUAGAAAUUGUUAUGCUGUGUAAUUUUUGUACUUAAGUAUCAUAGUACAAUGGUUAAAAAGGCCUGACCUCUGGAAGUGGAUUUCCUCUGUGUGUCUCUGUUUCCUCUCCUGCAAUAUGAAGCUAAUAAUAGUUCUGCCGGGUGGGGGGCGGGGGUGCUGGGGAGAUUAACUUGUUUAAUGCAACUAAAUGGUUUCAUGCGAGAACUCUUUGAACUGUAAUUCACAAGAACGCAGCAAAUGUUAACGGGGUUUGCCGAGUGUUAAUAAGAUUCGUUGUCGUCAUCAUCACUAAUGUCAGACUCUUUGCUCUGAGAGGUAUCUGGCUUUUUAUUGAAUGAGGAGCUGCACGGAUGCAUUAUACCUACGCGUGGACUCAGAAUCAGAUUCCUCUUACUAGUUGAGAUGCUGAGUUACUCAAUUUUGUCUGAGUUUUACAAUUCCUAGCUGUUACAUUGUAGCAGAUAGAAAUGUAUUACACAGCAUAGCAGUAAAGUUAUUAUUAUUGUCAUAGAGAUUACACUUCAGUCCCUAGGCAGCUGGAAAGUAAUGGUUGAGCUCUCUUUGAAGUCUCCUUGAUCUGGCCUCUUGGAGGUAUAUACUCAGAUAUUUUUUAAAUGGAAAAGAGGCCAAGUGUGGUUGAUGCAUGCCUAUAAUUCCAACACUUACAAGGCUGAGGUAGAAUUUGAGGUGAGCCUUAGCUACUUAAUGAGUCUAAGAAAGAAGUUUUUGUAAUUGCUUGCAAAAUUUAAAGGAAACAAGAUAAUAUAUUCAAAAUGAAUUAAAAUAUAAAUAUAUUAAUAAUAGUCUUUUAUAUCUUUCUCUGCAAGAGAAAAAAAUGCUUUAGAAACCAUCCCAUAAUUCUCUCAAUAUCUGGGAAAACCUUCAUUUCCACUUAAGACAGUAGUGAUCAACUUACUUAAUGGUGUAACCCAUUAAUACUUUUUGAUAUCUUUAAUAUGAUUGGGGGCUACCUCAACAACAUAAAAUUAUUUUGUUGUUACUUCAUAACUGUAAUUUUCCUACUGUUAUGAAUUGUAAUGUAAAUAUCUGAUAUGUAAGGAUCUCUGAUGUACAAUCUCGAAGGGGUCAAAACCCACAUGUUCAGAACCACUGACUUAAAACACCACCAACAGCCGGGCGGUGGUGGCGCACGCCUUUAAUCCCAGCACUCGGGAGGCAGAGCCAGGCGGAUCUCUGUGAGUUCGAGGCCAGCCUGGACUACCAAGUGAGUUCCAGGAAAGGCGCAAAGCUACACAGAGAAACCCUG